Gallus gallus (chicken) is the source of this 3774-nucleotide long non-coding RNA. NCBI's taxonomy places the organism in Eukaryota, Metazoa, Chordata, Aves, Galliformes, Phasianidae. The record is from Ensembl.
CUGAGUUUUUACCUUGCUUAUCAUUAGACCAGAAGAUACAUAGUUGAUUACACUAAAUGUGUGCUGCCUACCUUCUAAUCACUCUUGAACCUUUUAAUACACUUCACAUAUGAAUGUGAAGUCUUCAGGUUUUUUAAUGUCUUGUGAAAGUGCCUAGCCAGGAGAAUGAAGGGCCUAAAUGGGGGCUGUCAUCAUGAGAACACAUGCCCGUGUGUGCAUGUUAGCUAAGCAGGAUGUGCCUAGAUGGCUGCCUGCACUCUCUGUGGCUCAGUGCUGAGAAGCAGUACCAUCAGAGGCACUGGGAAGUCCUGGACUUGACUGUGAUGAAGAGGCUUAGGGUCCCGAGGACUUAAAGCUGUGGGAGAGAGAAUUCCUUCCACUCCAGUGCUCAAAGAAGAAAUCACUUUCUAUGGCAGCUUAAUCUGUUCAUUGCAAUAGCUGAAUAUUGCAAAUAAAAUGUGUCAUCAAUGGAUGUGGAGGAUCCCAUUCUGUAGGGUAAAAUGUAUCUUAUUCUACCUGGGAACCCAAUACUGGCAAGAUACUUAGAUAUGUCUAUGAAUACAAACUUUGCCAGGUCAAGAUUGAUUUAUGUCAAUGGAAGAUAACUCUGUGUAACAUAAACAUCUUUAUUCUUCACUGAAGUUUUCUCCAUGAUGAACAGCCCAAGGUCUCUCAGCCCUUCCUCAUAAGGGAGAUGCUCCAGGACCCUAAUCUUCUUUAUGGCACUUUGCUGAACUCUCUCUAGAAGUUUCCAGUCUUUCUUGAUCUGGGGAGCCCAGAUCUGGACACAGUACCCCAGAUGUGGCCUCAGCAGGGCAGACAAGAGGGGGAGGAUCACCUCUCUUGACCUGCUGACCACUCUCUUUUUAAUGAACCCCAGGAAGGGGUUCAGGAAUAUCACUGGCCUUCUUGAUGACAAGGUCAUACUUACUGGCUUGUGGCCAAUCGGUUGCCCACCAAGACACCAAGGUCCUUCCUCGUAGAGCUCAAUUCAGCAAGUAACCAUGCAAUGGACAGGUUUCUAGGCUUUGAGAAAGCAAACAGGCUUUGAGUCUUGGGAAGUUAUGACUUUGUUCUUAGGUUUGAUUUGCACAGAAGUUUGUGCAAAGACAAUUUCAGUAGAAGAGCUGAAGGGAACUUUAUUCCCAUUAAAGUAAAAUCUUGAUGCAGACUUGCUUCCUUGGAGCUAGACAGUAAUAGUUUGCUAAGAGUGUUUAUGUGAUCCCCCACCAUCACAUUCCAGGGUUCAAAUGAACUGAGAAAAUUACAUGAUGGUAGCUCCAAUAUUACUGAUUUCAUCUCUAUUAGAAACCGCAUAGAAGGAUAUGUCCAGUAGCUCAGCUGAGAAACAAGAACAGUCUCAGAGGAAAAGUUUGUUUCAACAUAUCUGAAUUUAUAAGCAGACUCAUUUGUACCUUCCCAUAUUACUGAAGUUUGCAUAAAAUAGGUGGAUUGACUACAAUCUGUGCUCUACUCCUCUUAUCAUUCAGGCUUUGCACUGUGAUAGUUGAAUACUUCCUGUAUGUACAGAGAGUGGCAUGACAAGGAGCUGCUAGUUUUUAAUUUCACCUUCCAUUGUCCUCUCCCUGAUUAUUGGCACUCAGCUUGCACAGGCAGGGUGAUGCUGCCCCAGUCUUGUACCUGGCUUCCUUGCCUAGUGCUUACAGUAGAAAGUGAGUUUGUGAGAGCUUCAGGUUUGUGCCUCUGACCCAAUUAAUAUUUGUUGACUCAGAAAAGAGACUGAAAGAAAUAAAAUCAUCAACAUACAGUGGUUUCACAUCAUCUGGUGGAUGAUCUGUGCCAUGAAAAAUUACAGGGGAAAUUUGAACCUGGGAGUCUCCAACUCAGGUGAGUCUUCUGUUGGCCAUAUUAUUGUCGAUUUGCCAUUGGCUUUUUCAAAAACAAACAAACAAACAAACAAACAAACAAAACCUAAAACACACAAAACAAAACAAAACAGAAAACCCAACCCUGUGAAAAUUCUUGUGAAAAGCUUGUCACAGUGGAGAAUUGUUUUUGUUGUUGUUGUUUGUUCUUUUGUUUUGUUUAUUUGAGUUUUUUGAGUUUUUUGUAAUCUCAUUUGUCACAAGACAUGAAAUCACUACCCAGGCCAUUAAUUGGACAGAUUUCCAUUCUAUUUUUUCAAACUCCUAUUCAUUCAGUCUAGCUUUUUGUGGAGACAAUCUGAUAUUAGCAUGGACUGAUGGACUUUUCAGAUGCUUCACUUGGAACACGUAAGGCCAAAAAAGAAUUAAAGCAGCAAUGAUAUUAUUUUCCAUUAAGGAAAGUUCACUGCUACAUGGAGUGAAAUAGUCCAGAGUUCAGAAAGAUGAAAGAGGUCAACAAAAGCACUGCUCUUCUGUGACACAACCAGAUUUAAAGAGCCUUUUAUAUGUAUAUGUAUUAUAUUUAUUCAUCUGCUCAUUCUGUCGUUGAGAUAGCAAAGCUUUCAAGAACAGGCACCCUAUGACCUUCAUGGGAGACACAGAGAAACACAGCCUGGGCAAAUACAGACCUAAAGCUGUCUGCUGGCUCAUUAUUAAUACAUUGGGAUUGUCUGGACCUGUGACCUCUUUACUGAAUGCUCCACCCUUCUUUUCUAACUUCUUUUUCUGCCCACGUGUGCAGCAGGAACCUUCCCAGACUUUGCAUAUAUGCAAUCACAGUUGCAGUGUCUUACUUCAGAUUCUGCACCCCAGAGUACCUCACCCACAGGGAUGGGACUCUCUGACAAGACAGUCUGUGCAGGAAAACAGCUUGUGUGUGCCCAGCGUGCAAAUGUUCCCCCCGAGCACAAGGGAUACGAUUUCAUCUGGUAGCCUGUACCAUGUGUAGCUUAGUAGCAAGCCAAAAAUGCAAGAAGACUGUAUCAAUCAUACAGAUAUGUCAGGACAAAAAAAAAAAAAAAAAAGACAAAAGGAAAAAAAAGAGAGGGGAAUUGGAGUACAUUGGAUAAUUUUUCAUUCUUUUUCUCUGUUACUAACAGGCACUAAGCGCAAGUCUAGCAGAUUUAAGUGCUAUAUAAAAAUGAGUAGCAAAUCAAGUGCAGGGAACAAUACAUCUGAAGGAAAAAGACUUCCAGAAGCAGACUUGGGGCUUUUUGUGUGUGAGGCCUGGAAGCAGCUAAUCUCUGCUGAGUAAAGAUAGCCAUUCAGAUCAGAUAAGUCGAAUAGGCUGCCAGAGGAGGAAAACCAGGGAAUCAUUUCAUUGUCAAUACUGGGGAGCCACCAGAUGCUUGGGAUUCCAUAUAUUUGGGGGAUAAAUCUUUCAAAAGCUCCAUUGACACUGGGGUAUGUCAAUAAUUCAACGUAUUAGUUGGAUGCAAAUACUGCACAAUAAGGCAUGGAAAGAAAACUGUAAUUGGGAAUGCUGGGGUGAAGGGGGCUCUAUCUUCUGACUGAGCCCAUUGUUGAACUCCAGGCUGAACCUCCGACCCUUUACUUUGGAGAGACACAAUAGGCUUUGAUAUGAGAUGGUGGGAAACAGUCUUGGAGGCUCAUUUCACAUUCAGCUGCAAUUCAUCAGCUUGGCUGGGACUUCUAGCAGCUUUAAUGACCACUGCAAUUGAUGGUUAAAUCAAUUUGUGACGGUGACAGCAUGGCUGGCCCCUAGACUGUAACAAUCCAGGAUUACAACAGGCAGAAAGGGCCCCCGUUAUUCAGACGUGCGUGGUUUCUGCUCAGCUCUGAGUGGGAACAACAGUGGGACAAAGUCUCACAAGACCGGGCCUGGAGAAUGUACAGAUUCACUCCAGUUGACUACACACCACCGCUU